Molecule: ribosomal RNA, 215 nt
Filed under: uncultured bacterium
Lineage: Bacteria
Description: partial 16S ribosomal RNA
Rfam family: Bacterial small subunit ribosomal RNA
Source: RNAcentral
AAGUCAGAUGUGAAAGACCCGGGGCGUCAACCUCGGAAUUGCAUUUGAAACUAGGCAAACUAGAGUACUGUAGAGGGGGGUAGGAAUUUCAGGUGUAGCGGUGAAAUGCGUAGAGAUCUGAAGGAAUACCGGUGGCGAAGGCGGCCCCCUCGGACAGAUACUGACACUCAGAUGCGAAAGCGUGGGGAGCAAACAGGAUUAGAUACCCCUGGUAG